This 749-nucleotide ribosomal RNA is filed under the name uncultured Marinithermus sp. Its description in RNAcentral is "bacterial SSU rRNA". It matches the Rfam family "Bacterial small subunit ribosomal RNA", at positions 8 to 806 of the family's 1533-position model. The record is from RNAcentral. Lineage: Bacteria; Thermotogati; Deinococcota; Deinococci; Thermales; Thermaceae.
AGAGUUUGAUCCUGGCUCAGGGUGAACGUUGGCGGCGCGUCUAAUACAUGCAAGUCGAGUGGGUUUAGACCCACGGCGGACGGCUGAGUAACACGUUGGUAGCUGCCCCCCAUUCAGGGAUAACCUUUCGAAAGAAAGAUUAAUACCGGAUAGUCCCGCAAGGGUAAAGAUUUAUCGAUGGGGGAGGCGCCUGCGUCCUAUCAGCUAGUUGGUGAGGUAAUGGCUCACCAAGGCUAUGACGGGUAGCUGGUCUGAGAGGAUGACCAGCCAGAGGGAAACUGAGACACGGUUCCCACUCCUACGGGAGGCAGCAGUAAAGAAUCUUCCGCAAUGGACGAAAGUCUGACGGAGCGACGCCGCGUGCAGGAUGAAGGCCUUCGGGUUGUAAACUGCUUUUCUGAAAGAAUAAUUCUGAAUGUAUUUCAGGAAUAAGUACCGGCAAAUCUCGUGCCAGCAGCCGCGGUAAUACGAGAGGUACAAACGUUACCCGGAAUCAUUGGGCGUAAAGCGUCCGCAGGUGGUUUGAUAAGUUGGAUAUUAAAUCUUGAGGCUCAACUUCAAGGCUGUGUCCAAAACUAUCUCACUAGAGAUUAGGAGAGGUGAGCGGAAUUCUGCAUGUAGGGGUAAAAUCCGUAGAUAUGCAGAGGAACACCAAAAGCGAAGGCAGCUCACUGGCCUAUAUCUGACACUCAUGGACGAAAGCGUAGGUAGCAAACGGGAUUAGAUACCCCGGUAGUCUACGCCGUAAA